AACGGGGAGCAGCCCAGAGCCUGAAUCAGUGUGUGUGUUAGUGGAAGCGUCUGGAAAGGCGCGCGAUACAGGGUGACAGCCCCGUACACAAAAAUGCACAUGCUGUGAGCUCGAUGAGUAGGGCGGGACACGUGGUAUCCUGUCUGAAUAUGGGGGGACCAUCCUCCAAGGCUAAAUACUCCUGACUGACCGAUAGUGAACCAGUACCGUGAGGGAAAGGCGAAAAGAACCCCGGCGAGGGGAGUGAAAAAGAACCUGAAACCGUGUACGUACAAGCAGUGGGAGCACGCUUCGGCGUGUGACUGCGUACCUUUUGUAUAAUGGGUCAGCGACUUAUAUUCUGUAGCAAGGUUAACCGAAUAGGGGAGCCGAAGGGAAACCGAGUCUUAACUGGGCGUUAAGUUGCAGGGUAUAGACCCGAAACCCGGUGAUCUAGCCAUGGGCAGGUUGAAGGUUGGGUAACACUAACUGGAGGACCGAACCGACUAAUGUUGAAAAAUUAGCGGAUGACUUGUGGCUGGGGGUGAAAGGCCAAUCAAACCGGGAGAUAGCUGGUUCUCCCCGAAAGCUAUUUAGGUAGCGCCUCGUGAAUUCAUCUCCGGGGGUAGAGCACUGUUUCGGCAAGGGGGUCAUCCCGACUUACCAACCCGAUGCAAACUGCGAAUACCGGAGAAUGUUAUCACGGGAGACACACGGCGGGUGCUAACGUCCGUCGUGAAGAGGGAAACAACCCAGACCGCCAGCUAAGGUCCCAAAGUCAUGGUUAAGUGGGAAACGAUGUGGGAAGGCCCAGACAGCCAGGAUGUUGGCUUAGAAGCAGCCAUCAUUUAAAGAAAGCGUAAUAGCUCACUGGUCGAGUCGGCCUGCGCGGAAGAUGUAACGGGGCUAAACCAUG
This 895-nucleotide ribosomal RNA is filed under the name Escherichia coli. RNAcentral describes it as "partial 23S ribosomal RNA". It matches the Rfam family "Bacterial large subunit ribosomal RNA", at positions 289 to 1191 of the family's 2925-position model. The record is from RNAcentral. Lineage: Bacteria; Pseudomonadati; Pseudomonadota; Gammaproteobacteria; Enterobacterales; Enterobacteriaceae.